UUAAAUUACAACAAGUAUGAGAUCUAACAAAAACACUACAGAAGUGAACAAAAAGUAAACAUAAAAAUAUAUAAAAUCAUUAAAAGCACUUCCAGAAUAUAAGAGAAAUUAAUGCUUAAUCGAAUUGUUCAAAAUAAUUUCUUAAACCAAAUGUUUUAAAACUUGUUGAAUAACAUUUGGUUGACUAAGGACAAUAUCUAAAUGAUUUUCAAAGAGAGGUAAUUAUAGAGAGCAUACAAAGUAUACAACAAUACCUGUCUUUUUCUUGAUGAACGUUUCCUCACAGGUGAGGAUGAGGAUGAUGUAGCAGUCACAGGGGCAGGUGAUGAACUUUUCCUCACAGGUGAGGAUGAGGAUGAUGUAGCAGUCACAGGGGCAGGUGAUGAACUUUUCCUCACAGGUGAGGAUGAGGAUGAUGUAGCAGUCACAGGAGCAGGUGAUGAACUUUUCCUCACAGGUGAGGAUGAGGAUGAUGUAGCAGUCACAGGGGCAGGUGAUGAACUUUUCCUCACAGGUGAGGAUGAGGAUGAUGUAGCAGUAACAGGGGCAGGUGAUGAACUUUUCCUCACAGGUGAGGAUGAGGAUGAUGUAGCAGUAACAGGGGCAGGUGAUGAACUUUUCCUCACAGGUGAGGAUGAGGAUGAGGAUGAUGUAGCAGUCACAGGAGCAGGUGAUGAACGCUGCACAGAAGACCAAAGGCACAAAAAAAAUACCACAGAUGUAAACAAAAAGUAAAUAUAAAUGCUUGCUUAAUUCAAAGUGCAUUGAUUUAGUUUAAGGGCAAGACAAAUGCAUUUGGAACAAAUAAU
Long non-coding RNA from Cyprinus carpio carpio, 809 nucleotides. The record is from Ensembl. Lineage: Eukaryota; Metazoa; Chordata; Actinopteri; Cypriniformes; Cyprinidae.